Oncorhynchus mykiss (rainbow trout) is the source of this 448-nucleotide non-coding RNA. Lineage: Eukaryota; Metazoa; Chordata; Actinopteri; Salmoniformes; Salmonidae. The record is from RefSeq and is a predicted model, not a curated record.
CGACCUCAUGGCUUGGUUUUUGCUCUGAUGUGCACUGUCAACUGUGGGGCCUUAUAUACAGCCCCAGGAGCCCUAUGUGUUUGAGCAGGAAGCCCAGGCAGCCAUGCGUAGCGUGGUGAUGUUACGUUACUCUCUCCUGCCAUUCCUCUACACACUCUUCUACCACGCACACACCUCCGCAGACACUGUGGCCAUGCCCUCUACUCCUCUUUUCUUCAAUUUCCAUUAUCCACUCUUCUCUCGCUCGCUCUCUUCAACAUUUGGAUACUAUUGCAACAUCUUUUUUACUGUGUUGAUAUAUUCUCUGUCCCCCUUUCCCUCUCUGUCCAUCUCUCUCAGAUUCCCCUCAAACCCUAACUGUUAUUUGUCAUAGAACAAGAGACCCAGAAUUAUUUUGUGAAACUGUGUAAUGAAAUGUAAAACAAAAUACUCAGUGGAAUACUAAUCU